GCGGUUGUGGCGAAGAGGUUAACGCCCCGGAUUGUGGCUCCGGUACUCGUGGGUUCAAGUCCCAUCAGCCGCCCCA
This 76-nucleotide transfer RNA is filed under the name Spiroplasma mirum. RNAcentral's name for it is "tRNA-His". It matches the Rfam family "tRNA". From Rfam's summary of the family: Transfer RNA (tRNA) molecules are approximately 80 nucleotides in length. The record is from RNAcentral. Lineage: Bacteria; Bacillati; Mycoplasmatota; Mollicutes; Entomoplasmatales; Spiroplasmataceae. RNAcentral also lists the same sequence under 3 other names.